CAAUAGCGUAUAUUAAAGUUGUUGCAGUUAGAACGCUCGUAGUCGGAUUUCGGGGCGGGCCGACCGGUCUGCCGAUGGGUAUGCACUGGUCGGCGCGUCCUUCCUUCCGGAGACCGUCCCUACUCUUAACUGAGCGGGGGCGGGAGACGGGACUUUUACUUUGAAAAAAACAGAGUGUUUCAAGCAGGCAGCUCGCUCUUGCAUGGAUUAGCAUGGGAUAAUGAAAUAGGACUUUGGUGCUAUUUUGUUGGUUUCGAACACCGAAGUAAUGAUGAGAAGGGACAGUCAGGGGCACUCGUAUUCCGCCGAGAGAGGUGAAAUUCUCAGACCAGCGGAAGACGAACCACUGCGAAAGCAUUUGCCAGGGAUGUUUUCACUGA
This 380-nucleotide ribosomal RNA is filed under the name uncultured eukaryote. Its description in RNAcentral is "partial 18S ribosomal RNA". It matches the Rfam family "Eukaryotic small subunit ribosomal RNA", at positions 592 to 976 of the family's 1831-position model. The record is from RNAcentral.